RNAcentral lists this ribosomal RNA (253 nucleotides) under uncultured bacterium. Its description in RNAcentral is "partial 16S ribosomal RNA". It matches the Rfam family "Bacterial small subunit ribosomal RNA", at positions 524 to 776 of the family's 1533-position model. The record is from RNAcentral.
UACGUAGGGUGCGAGCGUUAAUCGGAAUUACUGGGCGUAAAGCGUGCGCAGGCGGUUGUGCAAGACAGAUGUGAAAUCCCCGGGCUUAACCUGGGAACUGCAUUUGUGACUGCACAGCUAGAGUGUGUCAGAGGGGGGUAGAAUUCCACGUGUAGCAGUGAAAUGCGUAGAUAUGUGGAGGAAUACCGAUGGCGAAGGCAGCCCCCUGGGAUAACACUGACGCUCAUGCACGAAAGCGUGGGGAGCAAACAGG